ACGGAGGAUCCAAGCGUUAUCCGGAUUUACUGGGUUUAAAGGGUGCGUAGGCGGAUUAAUAAGUCAGUGGUGAAAUCCUACAGCUUAACUGUAGAACUGCCAUUGAUACUGUUAGUCUUGAGUAUUGUUGAGGUGGGCGGAAUUUGUCAUGUAGCGGUGAAAUGCUUAGAUAUGACAAAGAACACCAAUCGCGAAGGCAGUUCACCAAACAAUAACUGACGCUGAGGCACGAAAGCGUGGGGAUCAAACAG
Molecule: ribosomal RNA, 251 nt
Filed under: uncultured prokaryote
Description: partial 16S rRNA
Rfam family: Bacterial small subunit ribosomal RNA
Source: RNAcentral